GCCAGGCAUGGUGGCGGGUGCCUGUAAUCCCAGCUACCUGGGAGGCUGAGGCAGGAGAAUUGCUUGAACCUGGGAGGUGGAGGGUGCAGUGAGCCGAGAUCAUGCCACUGCACUCCAGCCUGGGUGACAGAGCAAGACUCUGUCUCUA
RNAcentral lists this signal recognition particle RNA (148 nucleotides) under Nomascus leucogenys (northern white-cheeked gibbon). RNAcentral describes it as "Metazoan signal recognition particle RNA". It matches the Rfam family "Metazoan signal recognition particle RNA". Rfam says of the family: The signal recognition particle (SRP) is a universally conserved ribonucleoprotein. It is involved in the co-translational targeting of proteins to membranes. The eukaryotic SRP consists of a 300-nucleotide 7S RNA and six proteins: SRPs 72, 68, 54, 19, 14, and 9. The record is from Rfam by way of RNAcentral. Lineage: Eukaryota; Metazoa; Chordata; Mammalia; Primates; Hylobatidae.